AAUACCUACGGGACGCAGCAGUGGGGAAUAUUGCACAAUGGGGGAAACCCUGAUGCAGCAACGCCGCGUGAGUGAAGAAGUAUUUCGGUAUGUAAAGCUCUAUCAGCAGGGAAGAAGAUGACGGUACCUGAUUAAGAAGCCCCGGCUAACUACGUGCCAGCAGCCGCGGUAAUACGUAGGGGGCAAGCGUUAUCCGGAUUUACUGGGUGUAAAGGGAGCGUAGACGGCAUAGCAAGUCUGAAGUGAAAGCCCAAGGCUCAAC
RNAcentral lists this ribosomal RNA (262 nucleotides) under uncultured bacterium. Its description in RNAcentral is "partial 16S ribosomal RNA". It matches the Rfam family "Bacterial small subunit ribosomal RNA", at positions 334 to 613 of the family's 1533-position model. The record is from RNAcentral.